This 253-nucleotide ribosomal RNA is filed under the name uncultured bacterium. Its description in RNAcentral is "partial 16S ribosomal RNA". It matches the Rfam family "Bacterial small subunit ribosomal RNA", at positions 524 to 776 of the family's 1533-position model. The record is from RNAcentral.
UACGGGGGGGGCAAGCGUUGUUCGGAAUUACUAGGCGUAAAGGGCGCGUAGGCGGUUCGCUAAGUUGGAUGUGAAAACUCUGGGCUCAACCCAGAGCCUGCAUCCAAAACUGGCGGGCUAGAGUUCUGGAGGGGGUAGCGGAAUUCCUGGUGUAGCGGUGAAAUGCGUAGAUAUCAGGAGGAACACCGGUGGCGAAGGCGGCUACCUGGACAGAAACUGACGCUGAGGCGCGAAAGCUAGGGGAGCAAACAGG